This is a long non-coding RNA of Polypterus senegalus (gray bichir), 1781 nucleotides long. RefSeq lists it as uncharacterized. The transcript has 3 exons. Lineage: Eukaryota; Metazoa; Chordata; Cladistia; Polypteriformes; Polypteridae. The record is from RefSeq and is a predicted model, not a curated record.
GCGCUUGUUGACUUGGGAAGUCUUUGGGAAACGUGCGCAGGAAAAGGUGGAUGAGCCGCAAGUACCAUGGGCUCAAAGGACCAUGCGGAGAUGUAUUCCAUCGUGCCUCUGCUGCUUCACUCUGUGGAUUAGGCUUCAUAUGAGAAGACAAUGUGGCUCUUCUCAGUAGAAUUUGGACGUGGGGCGUUUCCUUCAAACUCCAAGUGAAAGAUGCUCUACAGCCUUGGUGCUAUUGGUGAAGCAAAAAGGAAAGUGUUAUGGCAGCAACUGAAAAAAACAUCAAACUGACCGUGGAUCAACAAGAAGCAGCAGCCUGGAAGCCAAGCACCAGAAUGUAGUGGCUAAUCAUCAUGAAAUCCCCACUCUGGGAAACACAUCUAGUGAUGGAUGGAGCCCAGCUGAAGUUGCUGGUGGCUUGUAAGAGCCACAGCUGCAGUUAUCACUUAGAGACACCUAAUCUAUGACGAGAUGUUUGUUUGUGUACACAAAAAACUGAAUUUAGCCGAUUGGAAUGUUGUUUUAACCCUGGGUGGGAUGUGCAAAAUUGUAUUGAGGGGGAAUCGUCUCAUCUCAUUUUAUGCACAUGGGCUUGCCAGAAAUCCACUGCACAGAAACAUUGUCUCACUGAAGCAAAUGAAAUUAAACAUUUUCAGAGCCAUCACUAGUUUCGUUUUGCCAUAAGUUUGGCAAAAUCACUGAGAUGUUCACAUACAUCACCAAAUUCCACAAAGUGCACUGAAGUCAAUAAGGAGCUGAACUAAUUCAGAGUGGAUUGUAGUCUGCUGUUUAAAGGGUCCCUGACAGCUAGGAAAGCAUCUGCCAACUACGCUGGACCGAUUAUUAUGGCCAAAAAUGUGAUCUGAGGUGUGAGGAAACAGUGCUAACCACUGCAUCACCGUGCCUCAAAUAAACAAAAGGUGCAGACAGGACGGUAACAACAAAUUACAAGAAACAAACACAUACUUGUAAUAAGUAAAAAAAAUUAAUUCAUGGACAAAUUUGCCAGUACUCCCUCCACGAAAAAGAAAGAACCCAUAAUAAUCUCUGGAAUAAUUUGAAACUGAUAAAAGUAAAUCGGCACCCGUCAUUGUUUCUGUAUUUAAUAAAAAUCAGACGUUUUGAUUCAACAUAAUAUUUAAAAUAGUAACACAAAUGGCAUAGAUAAAAAUGACAGGACUCUUAACCUCAUACAGGUUAAAAAAUUCAAGGGACCAUAAAAAUAUUUUGUUAUGAUGGAUAUGAGGAAAAUAUGUAUAGAACUGUGAUUGGGGUCGCCCACGAUUUGUCAUCUCUAACUGCAGAAGCACAAGGACAACUCGGUAGCUGCCUCUUACGGUGUAAUGUGCUCGUCGCACAAUGUUUAGAACAUUUAACACCCAACCUGGACUCACCUUUCUGUCUCUCACGCAGCUAACUCUGUGACCCAAGCUUGACAAUACCUAUAGAACGAAACAGCUUUUAGCUUCUGUUAUAUUAAUUAUUUUUUUCUCUGCCAUCACUGCAAACUACAUGGGGUAAAUAACAUACAAACAAAUAACACUUUUGGGUUGAGUACUCUAAGAUGGCCAUCUAAGAUGUUCUGUUCAGGUGAUGCCGUACGCUUGUUGAAGAUGAACUAGUUUAACAGAUUAGUGUAUGAUGACCUCAAUGAACAGAAUCAGGGCUAGCUGGAAAAUGGAGGAGACCAAGGAAAUAAUUUCAUAACGUGAAUGGGGGCAAGUUCAAGUUUAUCAUCAUGUACAAAGUACAGGGUGGCACAGGGAAAUGGGAAAUUUUCAAUU